UACGUAGGGUGCAAGCGUUGUCCGGAAUUAUUGGGCGUAAAGGGCUCGUAGGCGGUCCGUCACGUCGGCUGUGAAAACCCGGGGCUCAACCCCGGGCCUGCAGUCGAUACGGGCGGACUAGAGUUCGGCAGGGGAGACUGGAAUUCCUGGUGUAGCGGUGAAAUGCGCAGAUAUCAGGAGGAACACCGGUGGCGAAGGCGGGUCUCUGGGCCUGACCUGACGCUGAGGAGCGAAAGCGUGGGGAGCGAACAGG
This 253-nucleotide ribosomal RNA is filed under the name uncultured bacterium. RNAcentral describes it as "partial 16S ribosomal RNA". It matches the Rfam family "Bacterial small subunit ribosomal RNA", at positions 524 to 776 of the family's 1533-position model. The record is from RNAcentral.